This 611-nucleotide ribosomal RNA is filed under the name Enterobacter ludwigii. RNAcentral describes it as "bacterial SSU rRNA". It matches the Rfam family "Bacterial small subunit ribosomal RNA", at positions 932 to 1533 of the family's 1533-position model. Lineage: Bacteria; Pseudomonadati; Pseudomonadota; Gammaproteobacteria; Enterobacterales; Enterobacteriaceae. The record is from RNAcentral.
GUGGAGCAUGUGGUUUAAUUCGAUGCAACGCGAAGAACCUUACCUACUCUUGACAUCCAGAGAACUUAGCAGAGAUGCUUUGGUGCCUUCGGGAACUCUGAGACAGGUGCUGCAUGGCUGUCGUCAGCUCGUGUUGUGAAAUGUUGGGUUAAGUCCCGCAACGAGCGCAACCCUUAUCCUUUGUUGCCAGCGGUCCGGCCGGGAACUCAAAGGAGACUGCCAGUGAUAAACUGGAGGAAGGUGGGGAUGACGUCAAGUCAUCAUGGCCCUUACGAGUAGGGCUACACACGUGCUACAAUGGCGCAUACAAAGAGAAGCGAACUCGCGAGAGCAAGCGGACCUCAUAAAGUGCGUCGUAGUCCGGAUUGGAGUCUGCAACUCGACUCCAUGAAGUCGGAAUCGCUAGUAAUCGUAGAUCAGAAUGCUACGGUGAAUACGUUCCCGGGCCUUGUACACACCGCCCGUCACACCAUGGGAGUGGGUUGCAAAAGAAGUAGGUAGCUUAACCUUCGGGAGGGCGCUUACCACUUUGUGAUUCAUGACUGGGGUGAAGUCGUAACAAGGUAACCGUAGGGGAACCUGCGGUUGGAUCACCUCCUUACCUUAAAGAA